Molecule: ribosomal RNA, 799 nt
Filed under: uncultured Glomeromycotina
Lineage: Eukaryota; Fungi; Glomeromycota
Description: SSU rRNA
Rfam family: Eukaryotic small subunit ribosomal RNA
Source: RNAcentral
AUCAACUUUCGAUGGUAGGAUAGAGGCCUACCAUGGUGGUAACGGGUAACGGGGUGUUAGGGCACGACACCGGAGAGGGAGCCUGAGAAACGGCUACCACAUCCAAGGAUGGCAGCAGGCGCGCAAAUUACCCAAUCCCGACACGGGGAGGUAGUGACAAUAAAUAACAAUACGGGGUUCUUUCGGAUUUCGUAAUUGGAAUGAGUACAAUUUAAAUCUCUUAACGAGGAACAAUUGGAGGGCAAGUCUGGUGCCAGCAGCCGCGGUAAUUCCAGCUCCAAUAGCGUAUAUUAAAGUUGUUGCAGUUAAAAAGCUCGUAGUUGAAUUUCGGGGUCAGUAGGUCGGUCGUGCCACUGGUAUGAACUGGUUUUACUGAUUCCUCCCUCUUGAAGAACUGUAAUGCCAUUAAUUUGGUGUUGCAGGGAAUCAGGACUGUUACUUUGAAAAAAUUACAGUGUUUAAAGCAGGCUUUAGCUUGAAUACAUUAGCAUGGAAUAAUGAAAUAGGACGUUUGAUCCUAUUUUGUUGGUUUCUAGGAUUGACGUAAUGAUUAAUAGGGAUAGUUGGGGGCAUUAGUAUUCAAUUGUCAGAGGUGAAAUUCUUGGAUUUAUUGAAGACUAACUACUGCGAAAGCAUUUGCCAAGGAUGUUUUCAUUAAUCAAGAACGAAAGUUAGGGGAUCGAAGACGAUCAGAUACCGUCGUAGUCUUAACCAUAAACUAUGCCGACUAGGGAUCGGAUGAUGUUAAUUUUUUAAUGACUCAUUCGGCGCCUUACGGGAAACCAAAGUGUUUGGGUUC